This is a small nuclear RNA of Prolemur simus (greater bamboo lemur), 107 nucleotides long. The record is from Ensembl. NCBI's taxonomy places the organism in Eukaryota, Metazoa, Chordata, Mammalia, Primates, Lemuridae.
GUACUUGCUUUUGCAGCACAUAUACUAAAAUUAGAAUGAUAUAGAGAAGAUUAGCAUGGCUCCCGUGCAACGAUGACAUGGAAAUUCAUGAUGUGUUCCCUAUUUUU